GUAGGUGAACCUGCGGAAGGAUCAUUCAUAAUAAAGUGUUUUAUGGCACUUUUUAAAAAUCCAUAUCCACCUUGUGUGCAAUGUUAGAUCUCGUCAAUCUUGGCGAGAUUUUUAUACAUCAACUCAUUCUUUAACUAAUUUGUCUGAAAAGUAUUAUGAAUACUUAAUUCAAAAUACAACUUUCAACAACGGAUCUCUUGGCUCUC
This 206-nucleotide unclassified non-coding RNA is filed under the name plant metagenome. RNAcentral's name for it is "partial contains small subunit ribosomal RNA, internal transcribed spacer 1, and 5.8S ribosomal RNA". The record is from RNAcentral.